CCUACGGGAGGCAGCAGUGAGGAAUAUUGGACAAUGGGCGCAAGCCUGAUCCAGCCAUGCCGCGUGCAGGAAGACGGUCCUAUGGAUUGUAAACUGCUUUUGUACAGGAAGAAACACUCCCUCGUGAGGGAGCUUGACGGUACUGUAAGAAUAAGGAUCGGCUAACUCCGUGCCAGCAGCCGCGGUAAUACGGAGGAUCCAAGCGUUAUCCGGAAUCAUUGGGUUUAAAGGGUCCGUAGGCGGUUUAAUAAGUCAGUGGUGAAAUCUGGUCGCUCAACGAUCAAACGGCCAUUGAUACUGUUAGACUUGAAUUAUUAGGAAGUAACUAGAAUAUGUAGUGUAGCGGUGAAAUGCUUAGAUAUUACAUGGAAUACCAAUUGCGAAGGCAGGUUACUACUAAUGGAUUGACGCUGAUGGACGAAAGCGUGGGGAGCGAACAGGAUUAGAUACCCUGGUAGUCCACGCCGUAAACGAUGGAUACUAGCUGUUGGGCGCAAGUUCAGUGGCUAAGCGAAAGUGAUAAGUAUCCCACCUGGGGAGUACGUUCGCAAGAAUGAAACUCAAAGGAUUGACGG
RNAcentral lists this ribosomal RNA (575 nucleotides) under uncultured bacterium. Its description in RNAcentral is "bacterial SSU rRNA". It matches the Rfam family "Bacterial small subunit ribosomal RNA", at positions 338 to 916 of the family's 1533-position model. The record is from RNAcentral.